GGUUGAUCCUGCCAGUAGUCAUAUGCUUGUCUCAAAGAUUAAGCCAUGCAUGUCUAAGUAUAAACUGCUUAUACUGUGAAACUGCGAAUGGCUCAUUAAAUCAGUUAUAGUUUAUUUGAUGGUACCUUCUACUCGGAUAACCGUAGUAAUUCUAGAGCUAAUACGUGCGUAAAACCCGACUUCUGGAAGGGUCGUAUAUAUUAGAUAAAAGGCCGACCGAGCUUUGCUCGACCCGCGGUGAAUCAUGAUAUCUUCACGAAUCGCACGGCCUUGUGCCGGCGAUGUUUCAUUCA
Molecule: ribosomal RNA, 293 nt
Filed under: uncultured eukaryote
Lineage: Eukaryota
Description: partial 18S ribosomal RNA
Rfam family: Eukaryotic small subunit ribosomal RNA
Source: RNAcentral